UUUCCGCAUGGGCGAAAGCCUGACGGAGCAAUACCGCGUGAGGGAUGAAGGAUUUUGGUCUGUAAACCUCUUUUCUCAAGAAAGAAGUUCUGACGGUACUUGAGGAAUAAGCAUCGGCUAACUCCGUGCCAGCAGCCGCGGUAAUACGGGGGAUGCAAGCGUUAUCCGGAUUUAUUGGGCGUAAAGCGCCUGUAGGUUGUUUAAUAAGUCUGUUGUUAAAGACUAGGGCUUAACCCUAGGAAAGCAAUGGAAACUACUAGACUUGAGUAUGAUAGGGGUAGAGGGAAUUUCUAGUGUAGCGGUGAAAUGCGUAGAUAUUAGAAAGAACACCGGUGGCGAAGGCGCUCUACUGGAUCAUUACUGACACUCAGAGGCGAAAGCUAGGGUAGCAAAAGGGAUUAGAUACCCCUGUAGUCCUAGCCGUAAACGAUGGAUACUACAUGUUGCGUUUUUAAUGCAGUAUGGUAGCUAACGCGUUAAGUAUCCCGCCUGGGGAGUACGGUCGCAA
RNAcentral lists this ribosomal RNA (508 nucleotides) under uncultured phototrophic eukaryote. Its description in RNAcentral is "bacterial SSU rRNA". It matches the Rfam family "Bacterial small subunit ribosomal RNA", at positions 363 to 891 of the family's 1533-position model. The record is from RNAcentral.